RNAcentral lists this ribosomal RNA (497 nucleotides) under uncultured bacterium. Its description in RNAcentral is "partial 16S ribosomal RNA". It matches the Rfam family "Bacterial small subunit ribosomal RNA", at positions 28 to 507 of the family's 1533-position model. The record is from RNAcentral.
GAUGAACGCUGGCGGCGUGCCUAAUACAUGCAAGUCGAGCGAACGGACGAGAAGCUUGCUUCUCUGAUGUUAGCGGCGGACGGGUGAGUAACACGUGGAUAACCUACCUAUAAGACUGGGAUAACCUCGGGAAACCGGAGCUAAUACCGGAUAAUAUUUUGAACCGCAUGGUCCAAAAGUGAAAGACGGUCUUGCCGUCACUUAUAGAUGGAUCCGCGCUGCAUUAGCUAGUUGGUAAGGUAACGGCUUACCAAGGCAACGAUGCAUAGCCGACCUGAGAGGGUGAUCGACCACACUGGAACUGAGACACGGUCCAGACUCCUACGGGAGGCAGCAGUAGGGAAUCUUCCGCAAUGGGCGAAAACCUGACGGAGCAACGCCGCGUGAGUGAUGAAGGUCUUCGGGUCGUAAAACUCUGUUAUUAGGGAAGAACAUAUGUGUAAGUAACUGUGCACAUCUUGACGGUACCUAAUCAGAAAGCCACGGCUAACUACGUG